CACGUAGGGGGCGAGCGUUGUCCGGAUUCAUUGGGCGUAAAGCGCGCGCAGGCGGCUCGGAAAGUCGGGGGUGAAAACUCGGGGCUCAACCCCGGGCGUGCAUCCGAUACUGCCGGGCUUGAGGCAGGUAGGGGAGAACGGAAUUCCCGGUGUAGCGGUGAAAUGCGCAGAUAUCGGGAGGAACACCGGUGGCGAAGGCGGUUCUCUGGGCCUGUACUGACGCUGAGGAGCGAAAGCGUGGGGAGCGAACAGG
RNAcentral lists this ribosomal RNA (253 nucleotides) under uncultured bacterium. Its description in RNAcentral is "partial 16S ribosomal RNA". It matches the Rfam family "Bacterial small subunit ribosomal RNA", at positions 524 to 776 of the family's 1533-position model. The record is from RNAcentral.